GAUGAAGAACGUAGCGAAAUGCGAUACGCAGUGUGAAUUGCAGAAUUCAGUGAAUCAUCGAAUCUUUGAACGCACAUUGCGCCCUUUGGUAUUCCAAAGGGCAUGCCUGUUCGAGCGUCAUUUGUACCCUCAAGCUUUGCUUGGUGUUGGGCGUCUUGUCUCCAGUCCGCUGGAGACUCGCCUUAAAGUCAUUGGCAGCCGGCCUACUGGUUUCGGAGCGCAGCACAAGUCGCACUCUUUUCCAGCCAAGGUCAGUGUCCAACAAGCCUUUUUUCAACUUUUGACCUCGGAUCAGGUAGGGAUACCCGCUGAACUUAAGCAUAUCAAUAAGCGGAGGA
This 338-nucleotide unclassified non-coding RNA is filed under the name soil metagenome. RNAcentral describes it as "partial contains 5.8S ribosomal RNA, internal transcribed spacer 2, and large subunit ribosomal RNA". The stretch from base 1 to 120 matches the Rfam family "5.8S ribosomal RNA", at positions 35 to 154 of the family's 154-position model. The record is from RNAcentral.